AUUGAACGCUGGCGGCAGGCCUAACACAUGCAAGUCGAGCGGAUGAAGGGAGCUUGCUCCUGGAUUCAGCGGCGGACGGGUGAGUAAUGCCUAGGAAUCUGCCUGGUAGUGGGGGAUAACGUCCGGAGACGGGCGCUAAUACCGCAUACGUCCUGAGGGAGCAAGUGGGGGAUCUUCGGACCUCACGCUAUCAGAUGAGCCUAGGUCGGAUUAGCUAGUUGGUGGGGUAAAGGCCUACCAAGGCGACGAUCCGUAACUGGUCUGAGAGGAUGAUCAGUCACACUGGAACUGAGACACGGUCCAGACUCCUACGGGAGGCAGCAGUGGGGAAUAUUGGACAAUGGGCGAAAGCCUGAUCCAGCCAUGCCGCGUGUGUGAAGAAGGUCUUCGGAUUGUAAAGCACUUUAAGUUGGGAGGAAGGGCAGUAAGUUAAUACCUUGCUGUUUUGACGUUACCAACAGAAUAAGCACCGGCUAACUUCGUG
RNAcentral lists this ribosomal RNA (484 nucleotides) under uncultured bacterium. RNAcentral's name for it is "partial 16S ribosomal RNA". It matches the Rfam family "Bacterial small subunit ribosomal RNA", at positions 30 to 507 of the family's 1533-position model. The record is from RNAcentral.